RNAcentral lists this ribosomal RNA (207 nucleotides) under uncultured bacterium. Its description in RNAcentral is "partial 16S ribosomal RNA". It matches the Rfam family "Bacterial small subunit ribosomal RNA", at positions 568 to 774 of the family's 1533-position model. The record is from RNAcentral.
UGUCUAGGCGGGGGAUUAAGUAAGGUGUGAAAGCCAUGAGCUCAACUCGUGAAUUGCACCUUAAACUGAUUCUCUUGAGUUAGGGAGAGGAGAGCGGAAUUCCUGGUGUAGCGGUGAAAUGCGUAGAUAUCAGGAAGAACACCAGUGGCGAAGGCGGCUCUCUAGCCUAUAACUGACGCUGAAGCACGAAAGCGUGGGGAGCGAACG